Molecule: long non-coding RNA, 580 nt
Filed under: Homo sapiens (human)
Lineage: Eukaryota; Metazoa; Chordata; Mammalia; Primates; Hominidae
Description: HSALNT0123125
Source: RNAcentral
UUCAACAAACACUAUUAAACUUGUAAGAUGUACCAGAUCCUGAGUUGGAGGCUGAGAGGAGGACAAGAAAACUGCUCCCGUAGCCUAGAGGGAGGGAGAGUCGCUUAAACCACCUGAUGCAGAAUGCUGAGUGCGGAGACCAGGAGGGUCCAUCUGAACCUCAGGGUCCUCUAGGGAACAUCGGGUGGUGAUGGCCUCCAUGAUCCCCCAGAGAAAGGGUGUGACUUGAGUGCCUUCUUCCUCUGUGCUCCCCAGGGAGCAGCAGCAUCAGAGUGCUCCCAGGGUGCCAAAGGGACACACUGGACCAACUGGAGACCCUGGGCCCCCUGGAUUCACAGGUGACAAUGGAUUGAGGUGGGUAUAGAAGAAGUCAAGGAAAAGCCCCUGUCAUGAAGAGUUGGAUGGAGACAGGCACAGAGUGGCCGCAGGUCCAAGCAGAGUGAACAUGCGUCCAAACUGGCAGUGGCAGCCCCUAGAAGGGAGACACCAACAGCACCGAGAUCUGUGGUCUCCAGAGCUGACAUCUCCUGCACUUGCCACGUGCAGGCGCUGUGCGGGACCUCCUCUCCAUCCUGUGAGG